UACGAAGGGGGCUAGCGUUGCUCGGAAUCACUGGGCGUAAAGGGUGCGUAGGCGGGUUCUUUAAGUCAGGGGUGAAAUCCUGGAGCUCAACUCCAGAACUGCCUUUGAUACUGGAGGAUCUUGAGUUCGGGAGAGGUGAGUGGAACUGCGAAGUGUAGAGGUGAAAUUCGAUAGAUAUUCGCGAAGAACACCAGUCGGCGAAGGCGGCUCACUGGC
RNAcentral lists this ribosomal RNA (216 nucleotides) under uncultured bacterium. RNAcentral describes it as "partial 16S ribosomal RNA". It matches the Rfam family "Bacterial small subunit ribosomal RNA", at positions 524 to 733 of the family's 1533-position model. The record is from RNAcentral.